This 619-nucleotide ribosomal RNA is filed under the name uncultured bacterium. RNAcentral describes it as "bacterial SSU rRNA". It matches the Rfam family "Bacterial small subunit ribosomal RNA", at positions 338 to 951 of the family's 1533-position model. The record is from RNAcentral.
CCUACGGGAGGCAGCAGUGGGGAAUUUUGGACAAUGGGCGCAAGCCUGAUCCAGCAAUGCCGCGUGAGUGAAGAAGGCCUUCGGGUUGUAAAGCUCUUUUGUCAGGGAAGAAACGGCUGAGGUUAAUACCUUCGGCUAAUGACGGUACCUGAAGAAUAAGCACCGGCUAACUACGUGCCAGCAGCCGCGGUAAUACGUAGGGUGCAAGCGUUAAUCGGAAUUACUGGGCGUAAAGCGUGCGCAGGCGGUUUUGUAAGUCUGACGUGAAAUCCCCGGGCUCAACCUGGGAAUUGCGUUGGAGACUGCAAGGCUGGAGUCUGGCAGAGGGGGGUAGAAUUCCACGUGUAGCAGUGAAAUGCGUAGAGAUGUGGAGGAACACCGAUGGCGAAGGCAGCCCCCUGGGUCAAGACUGACGCUCAUGCACGAAAGCGUGGGGAGCAAACAGGAUUAGAUACCCUGGUAGUCCACGCCCUAAACGAUGUCUACUAGUUGUCGGGUCUUAAUUGACUUGGUAACGCAGCUAACGCGUGAAGUAGACCGCCUGGGGAGUACGGUCGCAAGAUUAAAACGUCAAAGGAUUGACGGCUUGGNGAGNGCGAGACGACGACGAGGGAGGAGG